This 444-nucleotide ribosomal RNA is filed under the name uncultured bacterium. RNAcentral's name for it is "SSU rRNA". It matches the Rfam family "Bacterial small subunit ribosomal RNA", at positions 26 to 518 of the family's 1533-position model. The record is from RNAcentral.
AGAACGAACGCUGGCGGCAGGCUUAACACAUGCAAGUCGAGCGCCCCGCAAGGGGAGCGGCAGACGGGUGAGUAACGCGUGGGAACGUACCCCCCGGUUCGGAAUAACUCAGGGAAACUUGAGCUAAUACCGGAUACGGCUGAAAGGCGAAAGAUUCAUCGCCGGGGGAUCGGCCCGCGUCCGAUUAGCUAGUUGGUGUGGUAACGGCGCACCAAGGCGACGAUCGGUAGCUGGUCUGAGAGGAUGAUCAGCCACAUUGGGACUGAGACACGGCCCAAACUCCUACGGGAGGCAGCAGUGGGGAAUAUUGGACAAUGGGCGCAAGCCUGAUCCAGCCAUGCCGCGUGAGUGAUGAAGGCCUUAGGGUUGUAAAGCUCUUUCACCCACGACGAUAAUGACGGUAGUGGGAGAAGAAGCCCCGGCUAACUUCGCGCCAGCAGCCGC